AUUGAACGCUGGCGGCAUGCCUUACACAUGCAAGUCGAACGGCAGCACGGGAGCAAUCCUGGUGGCGAGUGGCGAACGGGUGAGUAAUGUAUCGGAACGUGCCCAGUCGUGGGGGAUGACGUAGCGAAAGUUACGCUAAUACCGCAUACGAUCUAUGGAUGAAAGCGGGGGAUCGCAAGACCUCGCGCGAUUGGAGCGGCCGAUAUCAGAUCAGGUAGUGGGUGGGGUAAAGGCUCACCAAGCCGACGAUCUGUAGCUGGUCUGAGAGGACGACCAGCCACACUGGGACUGAGACACGGCCCAGACUCCUACGGGAGGCAGCAGUGGGGAAUUUUGGACAAUGGGCGAAAGCCUGAUCCAGCCAUGCCGCGUGCAGGAUGAAGGCCUUCGGGUUGUAAACUGCUUUUGUACGGAACGAAAAGGUUUGGCCUAAUAAGCUGAGCUCAUGACGGUACCGUAAGAAUAAGCACCGGCUAACUACGUGCCAGCCGCCGCCGUAA
Molecule: ribosomal RNA, 500 nt
Filed under: uncultured bacterium
Lineage: Bacteria
Description: partial 16S ribosomal RNA
Rfam family: Bacterial small subunit ribosomal RNA
Source: RNAcentral